Non-coding RNA from Arachnomyces sp. PD_36, 138 nucleotides. The record is from the annotation of a GenBank genome assembly. NCBI's taxonomy places the organism in Eukaryota, Fungi, Ascomycota, Eurotiomycetes, Onygenales, Arachnomycetaceae.
GACACUAUGGCCGAGUGGUCUAAGGCGAUUGACUCGAAAUCAAUUCUCUUCGGGGGCGUCGUAAGUGGACCUGAUUAUCAAAGGACGCUCAAAACUUUUGCUAACAUACGUCAAAGGGUUCGAAUCCGACUGGUGUCG